UACGUAGGGGGCUAGCGUUGUUCGGAAUUACUGGGCGUAAAGGGUUCGUAGGUGGUGCGGUAAGUUGGAAGUGAAAUCUCUGGGCUUAACCCAGAGGCUGCUUUCAAAACUGUCGCGCUCGAGUGCGGGAGAGGUCAGUGGAAUUGCAGGUGUAGCGGUGAAAUGCGUAGAUAUCUGCAGGAACACCAGUGGCGAAGGCGGCUGACUGGAUCGCAACUGACACUGAGGAGCGAAAGCUAGGGGAGCAAACAGG
This 253-nucleotide ribosomal RNA is filed under the name uncultured bacterium. RNAcentral describes it as "partial 16S ribosomal RNA". It matches the Rfam family "Bacterial small subunit ribosomal RNA", at positions 524 to 776 of the family's 1533-position model. The record is from RNAcentral.